GAGAUAUGAUGAGUGGUCUAGUCUCGUAUAUGCGAGUCGGGUCUCUGCCCCAAGCCUGGUUACGACAAUUGGGCACUCUCCUUUGACCAAUCUGGUCUU
This is a small nucleolar RNA of Lathyrus oleraceus (garden pea), 99 nucleotides long. RefSeq annotates it as small nucleolar RNA Z279/snoR105/snoR108. The transcript has a single exon. The record is from RefSeq and is a predicted model, not a curated record. NCBI's taxonomy places the organism in Eukaryota, Viridiplantae, Streptophyta, Magnoliopsida, Fabales, Fabaceae.